RNAcentral lists this unclassified non-coding RNA (339 nucleotides) under soil metagenome. RNAcentral describes it as "partial contains 5.8S ribosomal RNA, internal transcribed spacer 2, and large subunit ribosomal RNA". The stretch from base 1 to 120 matches the Rfam family "5.8S ribosomal RNA", at positions 35 to 154 of the family's 154-position model. The record is from RNAcentral.
GAUGAAGAACGCAGCGAAAUGCGAUAAGUAAUGUGAAUUGCAGAAUUCCGUGAAUCAUCGAAUCUUUGAACGCACAUUGCGCCCCCUGGUAUUCCGGGGGGCAUGCCUGUCCGAGCGUCAUUGCAACCCUCAAGCGCGGCUUGUGUGUUGGGCUUCGUCCCCCCGUGGACGUGCCCGAAAGGCAGUGGCGGCGUCCCGAAUGGUGCCCGAGCGUAUGGGAACUCUCUUCCGCUCGAACCGGCCCAUUCGGCGCUGGUCGAACCCCAAUUUUUUUUUACCGGUUGCCCUCGGAUCAGGUAGGGAUACCCGCUGAACUUAAGCAUAUCAAUAAGCGGAGGA